GACGUAGGGCGCGAGCGUUGUCCGGAUUUAUUGGGCGUAAAGAGCUCGUAGGCGGCUUGUUGCGUCUGCUGUGAAAUCCCGGGGCUUAACCCCGGGCGUGCAGUGGAUACGGGCUGGCUGGAGGCAGGCAGGGGAGAAUGGAAUUCCUGGUGUAGCGGUGAAAUGCGCAGAUAUCAGGAGGAACACCGAUGGCGAAGGCAGGUCUCUGGGCAUUAACUGACGCUGAGGAGCGAAAGCAUGGGGAGCGAACAGG
RNAcentral lists this ribosomal RNA (253 nucleotides) under uncultured bacterium. RNAcentral describes it as "partial 16S ribosomal RNA". It matches the Rfam family "Bacterial small subunit ribosomal RNA", at positions 524 to 776 of the family's 1533-position model. The record is from RNAcentral.